RNAcentral lists this transfer RNA (73 nucleotides) under Azonexus fungiphilus. RNAcentral describes it as "tRNA-Lys". It matches the Rfam family "tRNA". Rfam says of the family: Transfer RNA (tRNA) molecules are approximately 80 nucleotides in length. Their secondary structure includes four short double-helical elements and three loops (D, anti-codon, and T loops). The record is from RNAcentral. Lineage: Bacteria; Pseudomonadati; Pseudomonadota; Betaproteobacteria; Rhodocyclales; Azonexaceae.
GGGUCGUUAGCUCAGUUGGUAGAGCAGCGGACUCUUAAUCCGUAGGUCGAGUGUUCGAAUCACUCACGACCCA